This 72-nucleotide transfer RNA is filed under the name Toxocara canis (dog roundworm). It matches the Rfam family "tRNA". From Rfam's summary of the family: Transfer RNA (tRNA) molecules are approximately 80 nucleotides in length. Lineage: Eukaryota; Metazoa; Nematoda; Chromadorea; Rhabditida; Toxocaridae. The record is from Rfam by way of RNAcentral.
CGGGCAGUUGCUCAGUGGUAGAGCUCCCGCUCCGUAUGCGGUAGGACCUGGGUUCGAUUCCCGGCUGCUUAC